Molecule: ribosomal RNA, 414 nt
Filed under: uncultured microorganism
Description: bacterial SSU rRNA
Rfam family: Archaeal small subunit ribosomal RNA
Source: RNAcentral
GCGCAGCAGGCGCGAAUCCUUCGCAAUGCGGGAAACCGCGACGAGGGGACUCCCAGUGCCUACGCUCAGCGUAGGCUGUUCCCGAGCCUAGAAAGCUCGGGGAGUAAGGGCUGGGUAAGACGGGUGCCAGCCGCCGCGGUAAUACCCGCAGCCCGAGUGGUGGCCACUAUUAUUGGGCCUAAAGCGUCCGUAGCCGGCCCGGUAAAUGCCUGGGUAAAUCGUGAGGCCUAACCUCACGAAUUCCGGGUAGACUGCCGGGCUAGGGACCGGAGGAGGGAGAGGGGUACUCCAGGGGUAGGGGUGAAAUCCUGUAAUCCCUGGAGGACCACCGGUGGCGAAGGCGCUCUCCUAGGACGGGUCCGACGGUGAGGGACGAAAGCCAGGGGAGCGAACCGGAUUAGAUACCCCUGUAGU